GUGGGUUCUAUGUGAGGGAGGUGGGACUUUACGGGGGACCACUUGGGCAGCUAGGGACGGGACUGGACGGAGCUCAAAGUGUUCGUUAGAAGAGUGCAGAUUAGACAAUACACUGUGACGAGUGAAAAAUGCGACCGUGCUGGCGGCGCUGGUUCUCAUAGCCUCCAUGAGGGGUGCUAACGAGCAGUUUGCGGCCUCCAUCUCCACAACCUCGGAGUGAGAAGGUGGUUUCAUGCUGGGCAAUGAGCUGCUCCCCAGAAUCUGGGGAGAAAGUCUGGAGCAGUGACUCUCUUGGAGUAUUCGAGUAAAAGCAAUCAACCAAGAAAAUAAAAACCACAAACAUACACCAUCUGAGAACUACUGGAUGAGAAUCUUCACUUGAACAAGAUCCUCCCCAGAUGAUUCAUCUGCACCUUCAAGUUUGAGAAGUGCUGCUGUCAUCUAGAGGAACUACCUGGCUCUAAGGGAGGUCUUCACUGUUCACCUUCUGGAAGAAAAUACUAGCCCACAGGCAACAAUAAGAAAACAACAGAAGACAUGCUGUAGAUGGAAGAGGCAUUUCUCACUGCGGUGGAAGGAAACUCUCCAAGGAAGAGCUGACAUAAGCUUCCAGCAGAAUUGUAAAAUAACUGAAAUUUGUUUUCAGCACUUCCAGCCCCCUCAUUCUGACACCCCUCCACCUCUUUGUGUUGUCGUUAUCUCAUUGAUUCUCAUUCAUUUCAAUUAAAAAUAUUUAUUGAUGGC
RNAcentral lists this long non-coding RNA (744 nucleotides) under Equus caballus (horse). Its description in RNAcentral is "lncRNA (ENSECAG00000053614.1)". The record is from RNAcentral. Lineage: Eukaryota; Metazoa; Chordata; Mammalia; Perissodactyla; Equidae.